Molecule: regulatory RNA element, 100 nt
Organism: Eubacterium sp. CAG:156
Lineage: Bacteria; Bacillati; Bacillota; Clostridia; Eubacteriales; Eubacteriaceae
Rfam family: pan motif
Source: Rfam
UGGAUGGUAUUCGAAAGAAACUAUACCAAAAGACAAUUUCUUAUAUUAAUAAUUUGAGUGUGCAUAGCCGAUAUUUCAUUUUAGAAAAUCGGACUCAUUA